This 225-nucleotide long non-coding RNA is filed under the name Elaeis guineensis (African oil palm). Its description in RNAcentral is "long non-coding RNA (EGUI_LNC021571)". Lineage: Eukaryota; Viridiplantae; Streptophyta; Magnoliopsida; Arecales; Arecaceae. The record is from RNAcentral.
CACGUGCACAUGCUAAUAAAUGCCUUUCCAAUCCAGUGAUAAAUCCUCAUAUGAUCUCGUAAGAAAAGAUAAAUCAAUCCCCCGUUGAGAUGAAAGCAUAAGGAAACAAAAAAUAAAUAAAUAAAUAAAGCGUCAAGAAACCGAGAUUGGAUCAAAAUCGACAGUUAAAUGGAAAGAGCAAAUGUGUUAGUCUCUUAAUUAUCUGGAAAUGGAUUGUACAGAAGG